AUGAACAGCAAGGAGGAAAAGUCCUGUCUUUCUUUAAUCGGAGCCUCGCCUGGGAAUGGUCUUCAGAAUGAAAGUCUGUCUUUUUGUUCAGCUCUCUGUUGGAGUCCACUUGACCAGUAUUGCAAGAUAAUAUUAAUACUAUGCUGUCAAAACUUGUCAAUCCAAGGAGAGCAGGUAUGACUCAGUGGAAAAUAUCCCCAUCAGAAAGAGACUUUCCCAGCGGCCUAUCUGAGUGUACGGAAAGAUAAAUGCUAUGGUUCAGACUUUCCCUCCAGAGAGAGACUGUUCUUCAGGGAAAGUCAAAACAGACACAUGCUCAAGUAGGCUCAACAGAUUUUACAAGAUAUGACAUAAACGACAAAGAAUUUCUAGCAGUGGUUCUCUGUAGACGGAUUUAUGAAAGAUCGAGGGCUUGAGGAUUAAACUCUCUGUUGGCUGGGGUGAGACAACCUGAUUAUCCAGUCCAGCUGGAAAAGAGACAAGCAGCAAAGUCCACCCCAAGAAAAUUAAUCUAGUUAAAUGGUGCAAUGCUGUCUUCAGCUGGCAGUGUCUGGGUGACACUGAACAUAAACACUCAUGGGUUGUGACUUGCAUUGACAUUCUUAAGAGAACAACAAGAGACACAAAGAAAAUGUUACUGUGUGUUAAAUUCAUCACUGCAGAGACUGAACAAAGUGAACAAAAAGUAAAUUGAAGGAAUGGUUUCGUAUAGCAGGGAACUAUGCAGCUAUAGGCCAUUAGGAAGAUGCAUCCAUAAUGUGUAAUGAAGAUUAAUGUUAUCUUUAACCCAAUUAAAUAUUUUUUAUAUGAAAGUACUUUGGCUGAAAUAUACCUCAGAAACUUUCCUUGCUAAAAUUGUGCUCUGUAGUCCAUAAUCUGCUGGGUUUUAUUUUGCAUUUUUACUGAAAGUCACACAGCCAAGCAGAUCUUUGCUGGCAUAUUGAAGACGCGUGGAGAGAAGCAAGGAGCAGGAAGGAUAAGAUGGGAAAAAUUAUGUGAGUAAAAAUAAAUGGAGAAAAAUUCUGUGUAAUGGCA
This 1035-nucleotide long non-coding RNA is filed under the name Numida meleagris (helmeted guineafowl). RNAcentral's name for it is "lncRNA (ENSNMEG00000001587.1)". Lineage: Eukaryota; Metazoa; Chordata; Aves; Galliformes; Numididae. The record is from RNAcentral.